This 396-nucleotide ribosomal RNA is filed under the name uncultured bacterium. RNAcentral describes it as "bacterial SSU rRNA". It matches the Rfam family "Bacterial small subunit ribosomal RNA", at positions 505 to 898 of the family's 1533-position model. The record is from RNAcentral.
GUGUCAGCAGCCGCGGUAAUACGUAGGGUGCAAGCGUUGUCCGGAUUUAUUGGGCGUAAAGAGCUCGUAGGCGGCCUGUCACGUCGGAUGUGAAAACCCGGGGCUCAACCCCGGGCCUGCAUUCGAUACGGGCAGGCUAGAGGAUGGCAGGGGAGACUGGAACUCCUGGUGUAGCGGUGAAAUGCGCAGAUAUCAGGAAGAACACCGGUGGCGAAGGCGGGUCUCUGGGCCAUUCCUGACGCUGAGGAGCGAAAGCGUGGGGAGCAAACAGGAUUAGAUACCCUGGUAGUCCACGCCGUAAACGUUGGGCGCUAGGUGUGGGGAACCUUCCACGUUCUCUGUGCCGUAGCUAACGCAUUAAGCGCCCCGCCUGGGGAGUACGGCCGCAAGGCUAAA